RNAcentral lists this unclassified non-coding RNA (329 nucleotides) under soil metagenome. RNAcentral's name for it is "partial contains 5.8S ribosomal RNA, internal transcribed spacer 2, and large subunit ribosomal RNA". The stretch from base 1 to 120 matches the Rfam family "5.8S ribosomal RNA", at positions 35 to 154 of the family's 154-position model. The record is from RNAcentral.
GAUGAAGAACGUAGCGAAAUGCGAUAAGUAGUGUGAAUUGCAGAAUUCAGUGAAUCAUCGAAUCUUUGAACGCACAUUGCGCCCCUUGGUAUCCCGAGGGGCAUGCCUGUUCGAGCGUCAUUUCACCACUCAAGCCUGGCUUGGUGUUGGGCGACGUCCUCUUUGGGGACGCGCCUCGAAACGCUCGGCGGCGUGGCACCGGCUUUAAGCGUAGCAGAAUCUUUCGCUUUGGAAGUCGGGGCCCCGUCUGCCGGAAGACCUGCUCGCAAGGUUGACCUCGGAUCAGGCAGGGAUACCCGCUGAACUUAAGCAUAUCAAUGAGCGGAGGA